Molecule: ribosomal RNA, 372 nt
Filed under: uncultured bacterium
Lineage: Bacteria
Description: bacterial SSU rRNA
Rfam family: Bacterial small subunit ribosomal RNA
Source: RNAcentral
AUACGGAGGGUGCGAGCGUUACCCGGAUUUACUGGGUGUAAAGGGCGUGUAGGCGGCUUUCUAAGUCCGGUGCUAAAGACUGGGGCUCAACCCCAGGAGUGCGCUGGGUACUGGGAGGCUAGACGGUCGGAGAGGGCAGCGGAAUUCUCGGAGUAGCGGUGAAAUGCGCAGAUACCGAGAGGAACGCCGAUAGCGAAAGCAGCUGCCUGGACGAUAUUGUGACGCUGAGGCGCGAAAGCGUGGGGAGCAAACCGGAUUAGAUACCCGGGUAGUCCACGCCCUAAACGAUGAGUGCUGGGUGUCCGGCUUUAGCCGGGUGCCGAAGCUAACGCGAUAAGCACUCCACCUGGGAAGUACGGUCGCAAGACUGAA